Molecule: ribosomal RNA, 406 nt
Filed under: uncultured bacterium
Lineage: Bacteria
Description: partial 16S ribosomal RNA
Rfam family: Bacterial small subunit ribosomal RNA
Source: RNAcentral
AUUGAACGCUGGCGGCAGGCCUAACACAUGCAAGUCGAACGAGUGGCGGACGGGUGAGUAAUGUCUGGGAAACUGCCUGAUGGAGGGGGAUAACUACUGGAAACGGUAGCUAAUACCGCAUACCAUCGGAUGUGCCCAGAUGUGAAUCGCUCGUAGCUGAGGUAAUGGCUCACCUAGGCGACGAUCCCUAGCUGGUCUGAGAGGACGACCAGCCACACUGGUGCUGAGAGACGGCCCAGACUCCUACGGGAGGCAGCAGUGGGGAAUUUUGGACAAGGGGGGAAACCCUGAUCCAGCCAUCCCGCGUGUAUGAUGAAGGCCUUCGGGUUGUAAAGUACUUUUGGCAGGGAAGCGGUAUCUGCAGAAUAAGCACCGGCUAACUACGUGCCAGCAGCCGCGGUAAUAC